RNAcentral lists this ribosomal RNA (563 nucleotides) under Bipolaris sp. BR479. RNAcentral's name for it is "eukaryotic LSU rRNA". The stretch from base 188 to 341 matches the Rfam family "5.8S ribosomal RNA". The record is from RNAcentral. Lineage: Eukaryota; Fungi; Ascomycota; Dothideomycetes; Pleosporales; Pleosporaceae.
GCGGAGGACAUUACACAACAAAAUAUGAAGGCCUGGCUUUCGCGGCCGGCUGAAGUAUUUUUUUCACCCAUGUCUUUUGCGCACUUGUUGUUUCCUGGGCGGGUUCGCCCGCCACCAGGACCAAACCAUAAACCUUUUUUUCUUAUGCAGUUUCCAUCAGCGUCAGUAAAAACAAUGUAAUUAUUACAACUUUCAACAACGGAUCUCUUGGUUCUGGCAUCGAUGAAGAACGCAGCGAAAUGCGAUACGUAGUGUGAAUUGCAGAAUUCAGUGAAUCAUCGAAUCUUUGAACGCACAUUGCGCCCUUUGGUAUUCCAAAGGGCAUGCCUGUUCGAGCGUCAUUUGUACCUUCAAGCUUUGCUUGGUGUUGGGCGUUUUUUUGUCUCCCUCUUUCUGGGAGACUCGCCUUAAAACGAUUGGCAGCCGGCCUACUGGUUUCGGAGCGCAGCACAUUUUUUGCGCUUUGUAUCAGGAGAAAAGGACGGUACUCCAUCAAGACUCUACAUUUUUCACUUUUGACCUCGGAUCAGGUAGGGAUACCCGCUGAACUUAAGCAUAUCAUA